AACGCUGGCGGCAGGCUAACACAUGCAAGUCGAACGGAUCCUUCGGGAUUAGUGGCGGACGGGGAGUAACACGUGGGAACGUGCCCUUUGGUUCGGAACAACUCAGGGAAACUUGAGCUAAUACCGGAUGUGCCCUUCGGGGGAAAGAUUUAUCGCCAUUGGAGCGGCCCGCGUCUGAUUAGCUAGUUGGUGGGGUAAAGGCCCACCAAGGCGACGAUCAGUAGCUGGUCUGAGAGGAUGAUCAGCCACAUUGGGACUGAGACACGGCCCAAACUCCUACGGGAGGCAGCAGUGGGGAAUCUUGCGCAAUGGGCGAAAGCCUGACGCAGCCAUGCCGCGUGAAUGAUGAAGGUCUUAGGAUUGUAAAAUUCUUUCACCGGGGACGAUAAUGACGGUACCCGGAGAAGAAGCCCCGUGCUAACUUCGUGCCAGCAGCCGCGGUAAUACGAAGGGGGCUAGCGUUGCUCGGAAUUACUGGGCGUAAAGGGAGCGUAGGCGGACUGUUAAGUUAGAGGUGAAAGCCCAGGGCCUCAACCUUGGAAUUGCCUUUGAUACUGGCAGUCUUGAGUACGGAAGAGGUAUGUGGAACUCCGAGUG
This 597-nucleotide ribosomal RNA is filed under the name uncultured Caulobacter sp. Its description in RNAcentral is "bacterial SSU rRNA". It matches the Rfam family "Bacterial small subunit ribosomal RNA", at positions 32 to 675 of the family's 1533-position model. The record is from RNAcentral. Lineage: Bacteria; Pseudomonadati; Pseudomonadota; Alphaproteobacteria; Caulobacterales; Caulobacteraceae.